GUAGAUAUUCUAUUAGAUGUACCUAUGUGGCGACACGACAGCGACCCCAACGACGUGUGCCGGUGAGAAUUUUCCGGGACACCCAGAUCUUAUGAGCGUCACGCUGAGACUAAGAACGAGUUGGGCGGUGAAAAUGAAGGAACAUCCUCGUACCGAACCGCAACAGGACUCCUAGGUGAGAAGCCUAAGGCAUAAUUGUAAUGUGAGCAAGGGAAAUCGGCAAAAUGGAUGAAAAACCUCGGGAUAAUCAUUGGCUCUAGCAUGCUAGAACUGGGCUUACAAGGGGAAUCUGACUGUUUAAUAAAAACAUAGCUUUGUGUGUACGCAAAGUGAAUUCUGCCCAGUGCUUGGGACGUUAAGGAAGUAAUUUUAAGUACGCACCUGUAAACGGCGGGAGUAACUAUGACUCUCUUAAGGUAGCCAAAUGCCUCGUCGCCUAAUUAGCGACGCGCAUGAAUGGAGCAACGAGAUUCCCACUGUCCCUGCUCACAGAUUUGCGAACCUACAGCCAAGGGAACGGGCUUGGGACAUGCAGCGGGGAAAGAAGACCCUGUUGAGCUUGACUCUAGCCAAGCACAGGCCUCUGUGACUAUAUCGUAGCGAGGUGGGAGAAAUGUGUGAGACCACUGACAUAGUCGGCGGGGGCACUCGCAAAGCUUGGUGGGGAGUUUGGCUGGGGCGGCACGACUACUAAAACAUAACGUAGACGUCCAAAGGUAAGCUCCGAGGGGAUGGAAACCACUCCGAGAGUAUAAGGGCAAAAGCUUGCUUUAGUUAUUAAUGUAAAUUAAUAAUACUGGAAACAGGGGCCUAGAGAUCCUCUAUGAAACUAAGCAUAGAGGUGACGGAAAAGUUACCACAGGGAUAACUGGCUUGUGGCGGCCGAGCGUCCAUAGCGACGCCGCUUUUUGAUUCCUCGAUGUCCGCUCCUUCCGAGCAUGGUGGAAGUAUCAGCCACCAAGUGUUGUGAUUGUUCACCAACUAACAGGGAACACUGAACCUGGGUUUUAAACCGUCCCGAAGAUAGGUUUAUUUUUACCCUUACGGCAUCGCGGU
This 1056-nucleotide non-coding RNA is filed under the name Enterocytozoon bieneusi H348. RNAcentral describes it as "Eukaryotic large subunit ribosomal RNA". It matches the Rfam family "Eukaryotic large subunit ribosomal RNA", at positions 1609 to 3008 of the family's 3401-position model. Lineage: Eukaryota; Fungi; Microsporidia; Enterocytozoonidae. The record is from Rfam by way of RNAcentral.